Massospora cicadina is the source of this 72-nucleotide non-coding RNA. NCBI's taxonomy places the organism in Eukaryota, Fungi, Entomophthoromycota, Entomophthoromycetes, Entomophthorales, Entomophthoraceae. The record is from the annotation of a GenBank genome assembly.
UCCCUUGUGGUCCAGUGGAUAGGAUUCUAUGCUCUCACCGUGGCAGCCAGGGUUCGAUUCCCUGCAAGGGAG